AUUGAACGCUGGCGGCAGGCCUAACACAUGCAAGUCGAGCGGAUGAAGGGAGCUUUCUCCUGGCUUCAGCGGCGGACGGGUGAGUAAUGCCUAGGAAUCUGCCUGGUAUUUGGGGAUAACGUCCCGAAACGGGCGCUAAUACCGCAUCCGUCCUGAUGGAGAAAGGGGGGGAUCUUCGGACCUCACGCUAUCAGCUGAGCCUAGGUCGGAUUAGCUAGUUGGUGGGGUAAGGGCCUACCAAGGCGACGAUCCGUAACUGGUCUGAGAGGAUGAUCAGCCACACUGGAACUGAGACACGGUCCAGACUCCUACGGGAGGCAGCAGUGGGGAAUAUUGCACAAUGGGCGAAAGCCUGAUGCAGCAAUGCCGCGUGUGUGAAGAAGGUCUUCGGAUUGUAAAGCACUUUAAGUUGGGAGGAAGGGCAGUAAGUUAAUACCUUGCCGUCUUGACGGUACCAAAAGAAAAAGCAACGGCUAACUUCGUG
RNAcentral lists this ribosomal RNA (484 nucleotides) under uncultured bacterium. RNAcentral's name for it is "partial 16S ribosomal RNA". It matches the Rfam family "Bacterial small subunit ribosomal RNA", at positions 30 to 507 of the family's 1533-position model. The record is from RNAcentral.